RNAcentral lists this ribosomal RNA (376 nucleotides) under uncultured bacterium. Its description in RNAcentral is "bacterial SSU rRNA". It matches the Rfam family "Bacterial small subunit ribosomal RNA", at positions 523 to 898 of the family's 1533-position model. The record is from RNAcentral.
AUACGUAGGUGGCGAGCGUUGUCCGGAAUUACUGGGCGUAAAGGGUGCGCAGGCGGUUGUUUAAGUCAGGUGUGAAAUUCCGGAGCUUAACUUCGGAACUGCAUUUGAAACUGGACGGCUGGAGUGCAGGAGAGGGAAGCGGAAUUCCUAGUGUAGCGGUGAAAUGCGUAGAUAUUAGGAAGAACACCAGUGGCGAAGGCGGCUUUCUGGACUGUAACUGACGCUGAGGCACGAAAGCGUGGGGAGCGAACAGGAUUAGAUACCCUGUAGUCCACGCUGUAAACGAUGAGUGCUAGGUGUAGGGGGUAUCGAAACCCUCUGUGCCGCAGUAAACGCAAUAAGCACUCCGCCUGGGGAGUACGGUCGCAAGACUAAA